AUUGAACGCUGGCGGCAUGCCUUACACAUGCAAGUCGAACGGCAGCACGGACUUCGGUCUGGUGGCGAGUGGCGAACGGGUGAGUAAUGUAUCGGAACGUACCUUUCAGUGGGGGGAUAACGUAGCGAAAGUUACGCUAAUACCGCAUAUUCUGUGAGCAGGAAAGCAGGGGAUCGCAAGACCUUGCGCUGAUUGAGCGGCCGAUAUCAGAUUAGCUAGUUGGUGGGGUAAAGGCCUACCAAGGCUACGAUCUGUAGCGGGUCUGAGAGGAUGAUCCGCCACACUGGAACUGAGACACGGUCCAGACUCCUACGGGAGGCAGCAGUGGGGAAUUUUGGACAAUGGGGGCAACCCUGAUCCAGCCAUGCCGCGUGAGUGAAGAAGGCCU
Molecule: ribosomal RNA, 388 nt
Filed under: uncultured bacterium
Lineage: Bacteria
Description: bacterial SSU rRNA
Rfam family: Bacterial small subunit ribosomal RNA
Source: RNAcentral